Long non-coding RNA from Sinocyclocheilus grahami, 2510 nucleotides. The record is from Ensembl. Lineage: Eukaryota; Metazoa; Chordata; Actinopteri; Cypriniformes; Cyprinidae.
UUGAUACUCACAUUUUAACAUGAUUUUUCUAAAAAAAAAAAAAAAUUGUAUGGAUAAUCAAGUAAACCUAAGUUGCUUCAGUCCAAUAAGUGUUCAUCUUGAAAUAUUACUAACAAUGCAAAAGUUAUUCUCACACUUAUUAUGUAUGUUAAAAUCAGUAAAGACACGUGAACCACAACCUGAUGGUGGAUAUUGUUACACUAAAAGGCUUUUUACCUGUGAAGUAUAAAUUAGCAGAUGAUUGGUUUUCCUCAAAGUUUUGAUCAUUUAGAGGCCUUAGAAAUGUGUGCAUCAAAUACAGUGACUUUAUAUAAAAGGCUUUAUAGGGUUAAUAAGGGCUAGAUUAUAUUCUAUACUUUUAAUGUUUUUCAAGGUUUAUUGCACCAAAACCAGUCGUAGUUUAGUUUUUCACCCUCUCUCUGACCCUCAGAGUUAAAUAGUCCCUUUUGCUACUGUACCUUUAAGACUUGACCUUGGUUAAAGAAAUGGUUAACCCAAAAAUUAAAAUUCACAACCAAACAAAACUUUCCAGUUUGAGUAUGCUGAAUGGCAUUUAAAGGGGAAGAUCUUUAGUCAAUAACAACCACAACAAAGCUAUAUGACUUGGGAAAAAUAUGCAUAUGACUUGAAAAACCUGUGCAUUAGUGCAGUGACACCUUAGUUUUAAUCUCAAACUGAGCAAAAACUAUGCAGUUUGGUUCAGUUGCUGAUAUUUGUUUACAAGGUCAAAAAUGAGUGCAAUGAUAUAUGUGUGUGUGUGUGUGUGUGUGUGUGUGUGUGUGUGUGUGUGUGUGUGUGUGUGUGUGUGUGUGUGUGUGUGUGUAGACUUCAGCAGGAGUGUGUGGAAGCGGCUCGCAUAGCGGAGGAUCUGGCCCGGCAGGCUGCAGAAUUGGCCGUCAGACAGCUGGAGGAAGAGCAAACCACACAGAUCAUCAUCGACACGAAAACAGAAGAGCUGGACAAUGAGGAUCAACUGCCAAAUAUCCAGGAGGAAGAGAAUGAAGAAGAUCCGGAGUUACAGCCGCUCGGUGAAGAGAGUGAGGAGGAGAGAGAGGAUAGUAAGAUCACAGAUGCUGACAUGAAAAGGAGCCUGGUGGACGUCUGCCCUGCGGAGCCCUCGCCACAUGAGUCUGAGGUUUCAGAUCAGGCACUACAAGCAGAUCCGGUCUCACCGCUCGUGACCACUCAGCCUCAGCGUGCCACAUCUUUACCUCCUGAUGCUGACCAGGAAGAGGAACCUCCUGAAGAAGGAUGUGGAGUGCCUGCUAGCUGUUCUGGCAUAAAGAGCUGGAUUCUUCGCAUCCCCCAUGCUUCCACAUGUCUGAGCAGCUUACACCUGCUGAAAAACAAUAAUGUUCCCCUGCCCAAGAUGCCCUCCGAUCUCCUGCUGCUAUACCAGGAGAUAUCCCAGCUUCCAAAACAAGCCAACCAGUGCUUCCAGAACGUUAUCCAUCGCCUCAACAUCCUCAAGCCCAUGUAGAACUCCUCAGCAGCAGUAUGUAGUCUUGGAGUUAGAAUCUGUAGCUAGUGGAUUUUAUUCUUAAAACACCCAAGAGACCCACUGUCAUCCCAAGCCAAAGUGCCCUAAAAUCCAGAUCAUCCCAUGCUUGACACCUAUAGACAUGAUUUUGAAGUGCCCUACAGUUACAGAAAGAAACCAAACCUCCAGCAAUCUCUCAGGUGAACUGACUGUGCUAGAUAGCGCUGUGCUGUGCUGUGCUGUGCUGUCUGUUAUGUGCAAGUUAUUUGUUGCUAAUACAAGUACCAAUAUUACUAUUGUUCACACUUAAGGUUAGGGCUUUUUCAAAACUCUACCACAUAGUGUGCACUAUUGACAUGAAUAUUACCUCCAAUAUUGCAUCCUGUUGAGGAGAAAUGUACUGGACAAUAAAAAAAAUAAAUAAAUAAAAAUGGGUCAUAUUAAUAUAGCCGGCAAUAUUAAAUGAUAGACAUUUCAAAAUAAGAGUCAUGGUGUAUUUUUAGGCUUGUUUAUUAUUAAAAGUCCUGCAUUAUCAUACUUUUUUUUUUUUCCUUGGUUAUUAUCGGUAAUUUGGUCCGUCUUCGUUUCAGGCGUUUAAAGGGGGGUGAUUCUCCAUACCCACUGUACGUGUGUGUGUGUGUGUGUGUGUGUGUGUGUGUGUGUGUGUGUGUGUGUGUGUGUGUGUGUGUGUGUGUGUGUAGACACACACUACACACACACACACACAAUUUAUACAGCUUACAAUAGGUCUAUAAAUAUUUAAACAAAUAUUAAAUACAGUUUGAUGCCUGGUGUGCUUCUUGUAUUUUUAAUAAAGGUACAAUUUUCUUCUAUAAAUUUUCAUUGUGCCUCUAAAGUUUUGUAAUGUGCUCCUAAAUUGUUUUAUUUAGUCGCCCAUGUGCUCCUUUGGGGACAAAAGUCAGUAUAAAGCCCUGAUCUGAGAAAUCAUGGAAAAAAGUGGGGGGAAAAGUGAAAGUGAAAAUGUGAAUGUUCAACUUUCGUGUUUUAAGAUUUAUUAUCCACAGGUGUG